This 301-nucleotide unclassified non-coding RNA is filed under the name Glomeraceae sp. RNAcentral's name for it is "partial contains 5.8S ribosomal RNA and internal transcribed spacer 2". The stretch from base 1 to 71 matches the Rfam family "5.8S ribosomal RNA", at positions 84 to 154 of the family's 154-position model. The record is from RNAcentral. Lineage: Eukaryota; Fungi; Glomeromycota; Glomeromycetes; Glomerales; Glomeraceae.
GUGAAUCAUCAAAUCUUUGGACGCAAAUUGCACUCUCUGGCAUUCCGGAGAGUAUGCCUGUUUGAGGGUCAGUUUAAAUAAAAAUCGAGGUGUUGCUGUUUUGUGACCCCCCCCCCCCCCCCCCCCCUCGCCCUUUUAAAAAGUUUAAGUGACCUAAAAUUGAUAGCUUGUGCAUCUCAGACGUACAUAAGAAUAUUUUUUUAUCCGUCCGGAGUUGCCAACUUUUUAUUAGGUAUGACCAUGCUGUUUGUGGCAUCGUACCUAUAAUAUACUCAUAUUUUGACCUCAAAUCAGGUAGGAG